AGAUUGAACGCUGGCGGCAUGCUUUACACAUGCAAGUCGAGCGGCAGCGCGGGGGCAACCCUGGCGGCGAGCGGCGAACGGGUGAGGAACCCAUCGGAACGUGCCCCGGAGUGGGGGAUAACGCCGCGAAAGCGGCGCUAAUACCGCAUAUGCUCUGAGGAGGAAAGCGGGGGACCUGUGAGGGCCUCGCGCUCUGGGAGCGGCCGAUGUCCGAUUAGCUAGGUUGGUGGGUAAUGGCUCACAAGGCGACGAUCGGUAGCUGGUCUGGAGAGGAUGAUCAGCCACACUGGGACUGAGACACGGCCCAGACUCCGUACGGGAGCAGCAGGUAGGGUAAUUUGGACAAGGUGGGGACAACCC
This 360-nucleotide ribosomal RNA is filed under the name uncultured soil bacterium. RNAcentral's name for it is "bacterial SSU rRNA". It matches the Rfam family "Bacterial small subunit ribosomal RNA", at positions 26 to 383 of the family's 1533-position model. The record is from RNAcentral.